AGGCAGCAGCAGCAGCAGCCGGGGUGGCACGGCGGCGACCACGCCGCCGCGGCGGGCGGCAACGGCAAGAGGGCCAAGGUGAUGCACCUCCUGCUCUGGGGACCCAAGUGAUCGAUGUAUCCGAUCCGCUUAUCCGGCAACCUCUCGUGGCGCUCCGGCGAGUGUUUGCGGCGGCGGCUCGGCUCCGGCCGGCCGGCCGUGUACCAUGGCCGGACUGUAUUGUAAAUUUGUACCAUGGCCGGACUGUAUUGUAAAUUUGUACCAUGGUACUAGCUAGUACUAGUUGCUCCCUUGUCUUGCACCGGCCUCUUGCUGUUUGCUCAGACUGCUCGUCGCGUCGGUCAGUUUGGGUGUCAACUGCUGGAAGCUAUGGCUAGUAAGCUUUCUGUAAAAUAUACCAAGUCUGAGUGGUGUUUCUAGGUGUGAUUUAAAUUUGGAGAAGCAGAUUAUACCCCUGUAAUCUUAAAUUUGCCUGGUUGUGCCUGUGAAAUUCAGUUUUCCGACGCUACAUGCUUUCCCUUUUGGUCUUUUUUUGUGUGAGGGUUGCUACUUGCAAGUAGUUCAAAGUCCCAGAUCGGGAAGGUUAAUCAGCUCUUUUGCUUGAAGUUUUGUUGAAUCCUGAUGCGGUGCUAACAUCAAUUUUGCUGAGAACUGUGCGCUGUUUUGCAGCGGAGUUUUAUCUUGAAACUGGCGCACAGAGUUUGGAGUGCUUCGCUUCUUCGCAUCAUGGAAGCCAUGGAUCAACCUAGUUUCUCUUUUAGGUUGGCCUACCUGGUUUAGCGUGAAAGAAUCUUGAAAAGAGAACGUGAACAAGAAAAAGAAAGGAAUUUAAAUACUAAGGAAAGGAGAGAAAAGGGAAAGUGAACAGAAAAGGGACUUCAAUUAUAUCCAUAAAAGGUGAGAAGAUGAAGAAAAAAAAAUGUGAAUGCCUAUGUGCUAUCUUGUCCACGUAUGACUUGAGCAGCUGUGGAUUCUUAUCCGGAUGUGUCUCGUCUCUCUUUUUUUAUGGAACAAGAGGGGAUAUGUCCUCUACUGAUUAUAUAUUGAUAAAAGGAAUAGGAAAAAGUCUUACAACCCAGAACUUAAGAAACAAAGAAAGAAAAAAAAGAUCAUAAAUGUAAUUGAUCUUUAUAUUUAGCUAAAAAAAUAAUUGAUCUUCCUACUGAAAAAUGCAAGCUGCGGUAGCUAGAGAAGAAGAUUUCAGAAUUUGCCAUCAAAUUCACACGUCUCAUAUGAUUUUCAUGCAAUGCCGUACCGUAUAUUCUCUCCUUUCUAUGCCAUCUCAUAUUCUCUUGUCACUCGGCUUAUAGGCUAAUGGUGCUCACGGGAUUAGGCUCCAAUAAUUCGAGCAAGAUUGGCCAUCCAUUUUCUCUUAAAUGCGUGUCGUUGGCAUGCACCCUGAGCUGAGCUCCCUCCACCUCCACAAGAUGAAACAUGAAAGCGCCACAUAGAGGGGUGGGUGAGGGUGACCAGGCAACGAGUUGGUGUAGAUCCGAAUGCUUGGUUUGGAUUGAGCGGGAAUGGAAUUCCGUGAGAUCAGGGGCCAUAUGAAAAAGAAAGAAAAGGAAUGCGGGGAAGGAUACAAUGGCAUGUUUUGUAACCAAUUUACGUGUGGCCAAUUCUGAAAGGCUUGCAAAUUUGAUGGAAAAUCUUGUGAGAUGUGUAGAAAAAAGAAAUUCACAGUUAUUUAAACCUGAGUACCGGGGGAAAAAGAAGAACAUUUGAUAGAAGAACAAGAGAAUGAGAUCCCUUCAAACAACCUUUUUGUUGGUAAGAUUUUAAACUUCCUUGUACAUGGGAACUAAAGGUGAUGCUUAAAAGAGAACUGUGUAGUGAACUAGUGAUCACAUUAUUAGUGCACUGUAAGUGAGAUCGUCGGAGGAGGACAAUUGUAUUCUUCGAUUAAAAAGAAAAAUGCUGAAACCUUGGCAUGAAACCAAAAAGGAGAGAUGGAAGGAGAGAAGGGAAAAAAAAGUUACAAGACAAGCUAGGAGUAUGACGGAAUCUACAACAACGUUCAUAUGUGUUUUGCACUCUAGCUAUUCAACCAAGUACUUAACUGAUGAGGCCAUUUCUCUAUCGUAGUCAUAACCAAUUCGUGGGGAGUACCGCGCCUAGUAUAUUGGUACAUUGGAUAUGAUCCGAAUUCUAACGCGUAUCUUGUGGGGACGCUUGGAGGGCUCACGGUUUAGGUUAUGUGAUUAGCAAAUUUGUCUCCGUAAUUAACUGCAGUCAAGCCAUAUGGGAAGAGAAAAAGAUUCAUUGUAUUUACUGUGUUAUAACUCUCUUAUUAUAUUGAAGAUCGUUGAUUGGAUCCCGUGGUUUUUUUCCGCGAGGCACGUAAAAAUUGUGUGUCGUGUUCGAUAUUAUUUUUGCUUUAUUUGCUAACAGCUUACUUGGCGCUCGAUCCCCUUGCUUUAUAUGCUAACAGCUUACUUGGCGCUCGAUCCUUUGGGGACAUCGAUCACCAGCUAGCUCAUCUACAGCGCUAUCCUAUUCCUCAUCUCGGCUGGUGUCGAUGACGAACUUCCUCCAGAUGAGCUAGCUGAGCGCCAAGUAACUGGGUUAGUUGACGGGGGCGGCGUAAGCCGCCGAGCUCUGAGACUGCUCGGCGCCAUGGCACGGCAGCCCUGCAGGUCUACGGCGGCCUGCAGGACGAACCUGUUCUGCCGGCGAGCAUGCCUGUCCAGAUCACACCGAGCGAGAACGCCGCGCCGGCGCGCCGCCGAGAUCGGCGACACCCCACGCGAUCGAUCGCUUGGAUCUCUCACUGAUCGAUCACUUGAUUAUUACUUGAUCCGGACGACCUGACCGCCUCCGACCAGGCGACGCCGCACCGAGCUUUUCUCAGACUUGAAUCGCCCGCGCCGUGACGCCGAGGGCCGAGACACGCGACGGAAGUGAGGGGAAAAAAUCGGGCAAGACCACGUACGUCAACAAGAUAUUUCCGGCCGCUCGACCGGCGGCCACUCGUCGAUCGCGCGGCACUUUUUUUUUUUUUUUGCUGUCUCUUAUCCACAGCUGCGGCACCGGAGAUCCGUCACGUCUCGCUAUUAGACCUACUCGAGCUUCGCCGCUUUAUAUAACUGACCAGCUUGGUGUCUGGAGUAGCUGGUGACAGAAGCAAGAACCCGAUCGAGAGAGGCGCGUGGCGUGCUAGACUGCUAGUGCUGCGGUGGUGCAGUAGCAGCAGCGGCAGCUAGCAGCUAGCAGCCAGCAGCCAUGAGCAGCGGCGCCCGCGAGAGCAGGUGGCCGGAGUUCGCCGCCCUCGGCCGCGCGCUGAUGGCGCGCGACGCCUCCGUGCCGGGGCGGGAGCUGCGGCAGCAGCAGCAGCAGCAGCCGGGGUGCCGCGGCGACCACGCCGCCGCGGCGGGCGGCAACGGCAAGAGGGCCAAGGUGAUGCACCUCCUGCUCUGGGGACCCAAGUGAUCGAUGUAUCCAGUAUCCACUUAUCCGGCAACCUCUCGUGGCGCUCCGGCGAGUGUUUCCGGCGGCGGCUCGGCUCCGGCCGGCCGGCCGGCGGCCGGAGUGUCCUGUACCAUUGAACUACUACUACUUAUUGUACUUGUUCCUUUUCUUGCACCACUUUGCUGUUUGCUCAGACUGAUCGCCGUCGGUCAGUUUGGGUCUCAGUUGUCAACUGAUGGAAGCUACUAUAGCUAAAAAGCUUUCUGUAACAUACCAAGUCUGAGUGGUGUUUCUAGUUAAGGUUUGGAGCAGCAGAUUGUACCCCUGUAAUCUAAGAACGCGUGCUCGUGUUGUUGUGUGCCUGUGAAAUUUGGUUUUCCUACGCUUUUCUGUGCAGUCAAAUAACUCAUCCAGCUCACUACUUUCCCUUUUUGGGGUUUUCAGUUUUUGUGUGAGAUUUGCUAGUGGUUCAAAGUCCCAGGUCGGAAAAGUUAGCUACUCCGUCCGUUUCAAAUUGCAGGUCGUUUUAGUUUUUCUAAGCAUCUACUUAUACACUAUAUCUAAAUGCAUAGCAAAAAUUAUGCAUCUAAAAAAGCUAAAACGAACUACAAUUUGAAACGGAGGGAGCAGCUCUUUUGCUCUAAGUUAUGUUGAAUCCUGAUGUACUGCAUAAAUUUUACUGAGGAUUCGAGUUGUUUGCGGCAGAGUUUUAUCUUGGAACUGACAGAGUUUGGGUGCUUUGCUUCUUCGUUGCAUGGAUCCACCUGAUUUCUCUUUUAGCUUGGCAUAGCUGGUUUAGCGUAAAAGAAUCUUGAAAAGCGAAAGUGAACAGAAAAGAAGGAAUUUAAAUACUAAGGAAAGGAGAGAAAAGGGAAAGUGAACAGAAAACGACUUCAAGUAUAUUCAUAAAAGGGGAGAAGAAGACCAAAAAAAUUGUGAAUACCUAUGGGCUAUCUUGUGUCCACAAAUGACUUGAGCAGCAGAGAUGUUUACAAAGUCCAACGAGAUUUUUUUUUUGAUAAACCAAGUCCAACGAAUUAGUACAUGCUUGGAGCAUGACGCGGCUCGUCUCUCUUAAAACCGCUUCAAUAACUGAUCUUUCUACUGAAAAAUGCAAGCUGCGGUAGCUGGAGAAGAAGAUUUCAGAAUCUGCCAUCAAAUUCACACGUCUCAUCUUUCUCUCCUUUUUAUUCCAUCUCCUAUAUUCUCUUGUCACUUGGCUUAGGCUAAUGGUGUUGAAAUAAUGGGCCUAGCCCAUAAGUAAUUUCAGAAUUUCAAAUAAAUCUCAAAGGCCCAUGUGGGUAAGAGGUGGAGUGGUGCAAGUCUUUAGUCCCACAUUACUAGUGGAGGGGAGGGAUGACCAACUUAAAUAUGGAAGUUGUCUCCACUCCUCCAAGCUAUGUGUGUGGGGAGGGAAGGAGAGCUCCACACGCACGCGCUUGCUCGCCACGCCUCGACGGGCCGGGUCGGGCGAAGGGCGCGGGCACGCGGCACCUGCGUGAACAGUCCGUCGAAAUCCAGCCCCUCGCCUCAGGGGCGCGGCUUCCUUUUGCCGUUUUAUUUUUUGGUUACUUGGUCAUCCUAACCGGUUGAUCGCGACGAGAAUCGUGGGCUCUCCUAUAUAUGCGACCUACCGGCCUCUACCAAAAAAAAGAGAUCUAUUCGAGCUAGGGUUUUUGCCUCCUCUCGCUGCUGCGCCGCCACCGUAGUCUACUCCAUCCCGAUUGUCGGCGUGCACCAGUGAUUGGGAGAGCAGGUCUCCGGAACCGUCGUCUUCAGCGAUCCUGCACCGGGAGAGGGCGAAUAAGGUUUUUGGGAAGCGCUCUGCGCGACUGCUCGAUCGCUUCCUCCGCUUCGUCAAGUUCUUCGUCGACUCCUUCACCACGGCUCGUCUACCUCUUCGUCGCUCGGGCCUCACUCGUCGUCGCGAACAACGUCAGGCUGCUGAUUGUCGUCGCCUGCUGUACCCGGUAGUCGUCCAGGAGCCGGUCUUCAUCAAGAAAGAAACGUACGAUCUCUUAACUCAAAUUAUGUCUUCCAUACUAGCUAUUAUGAUCUGUUGCAGUCUGAUAGCACUGGAUAGUAUGGUAGAAUGUGUGAUUCUAUUUGCAAUGAUAGACUUGUCUAGAUCUUGCGUAGACAUGUCUAGUUUAAUCUGCAGUCUGUUCAUCGUAUUCAUGAUUUAUUUCUGGAUUAAAUUAAGACUAAAAGUGCUUAUAUAUCCAACAAAUGGUGCUCACGGGAUUAGGCUCCAAUAAUUCGAGCAAGUUUGGCCAACCAUUUUCUCUUUGAAUGCGUGUCGUCGUUGGCAUGCACCCUGAGCUGAGCUCCCUUCACAUGAAAGCGCUAGAUAGAGGGGUGGGUGACCAGGCAAUGAGUCGGUGUAGAUCCGAAUGCUUGGUUCGGAUUGAGCUGCCAUAUAAUUCCGUGAGAAGGGUCCAGCCAUAUGAAAAGGAAAGAAAAUGGAGUGGCAUGUUUUUGAAGCAAUUCACGCGUGGAAAUUCCGAAAGGCCUGUAAAUUCGAUGGAAAAUCUUGUGAGAUGUGCAGAAAAAAUUCCAUGUGUAUUUAAACCCAGGAAAAAAACAGAACAUUUGAUAGAAGAACAAGAAAUGUUCUGUUUUGGUGGUAAAUUUUUAAAUUUCCUUGUACAUGGGAACUAAAGGUGAUGCUUAAAGGAGAACUGUGUAGUGAUCACAUUAUUAGUGCACUAUAAGCGAGAUCAUCGGAGGAUAAAAUUGUAUUCUUUAAUUAAAAAGAAAAAUGCUGACAACUUGGUAGGAGUAUGAACAAAUCAAAUCUACAACAAGACAUUCAUUUGUGCUCUACACGCCAAUACUUAACUGCUAAGGCUUACUUGGCGCUCGAACCAGCUAGCUCAUAAUUUUAUCCCCAACGAACCGAGCGCCAAGUAACUGGGUUCGUUCUCGUCGGCGUGAGCUUCCCAGCUCUGAGACUGCUCGGCGCCAUGGCACGGCAGCCCUGCAGGGCUACGGCCGCCUGCAGGACGAACCUGUUCUACCGGCGAGCGUGCCGAUCCAGAGCACACCGAAAAGUCCCCGUUCGCGGCCGCACCGGCAGACAAUCCUUGCUUGAGCCGCGCCCCGGCAGCUCGAGCUCGCCGUCAGCUGCGCGCGUUCGGCCCCGUCCCCGGUCACCCGGCGGCCUGCGCUGCUCCGAACGCCGCCGGAAUUUUGUCCGGUACCGGUCGAGCAUCAACGCAAUCGGAAGAGCCUGCCGUCGCCGGCGGUGAGACUGCUGGCGCCCUCCGGCAGCGCCAUCGCGGCGACGAGACGGGGCAAACGACCAAGUCAGAUUGUUUCUCUCGCGAAUCUGAGCCGCACAGGUACGAUCGGACGGUGGUUACGGGCCCCAGGGGUGGACGGUAAAUGAAAUACCGUCCACGCCCCUGACCUGGCGGGGGGCCGCUGCCCGGGCGCCUGCUCACCCUUCUCCACGACGCGAGCGUGGACAGCACUCCUCGCCGGCUUCUGGCGGCUUCGCGACGCCGUCGACGUCGUGGAUGCUACCGCCGACUCGAGCUGUCGAGUGCCUGAAGCUGCUCGGCGCCCGAAAAGCUUCAAGAGCGCUCGCCGCAGCGAGGUGUGCUGCGCCUCAGUGGCUGUAACACCCACCAAACAUCUAUGAAGGCGAAGCAGCGGCGACCUCGAGCAUGGCCGAGCUGACGGCCAUCAGUGGCAAGGGGUGGACGGUAAAUGAAAUACCGUCCACCCCCGAGCUGGGCGGCAGCUCGAUGAGCAUGAUCGCCUCCUCUGCUCCGCGCCACGCUUGCAGGGUCGCCGCGUUCUCGCCGGUAGUGGCUCGCGUAUCUGCCCUGCUGGACAGUGCCGUGAUGCGGUACUACUGCAUCAAUUUUACUGAGAACUUUGCAUUUCUUGCGGCUGAGUUUGGUGGUAAAUUUUUAAAUUUCCUUGUACAUGGAAACUAAAGGUGAUGCUUAAAAGAGAACUGUGUAGUGAUCACAUUAUGAGUACACCAUAAGGGAGAUCAUCUGAGGAUAAAAUGUAGUAUUCUUCAGUUAAAAAGAAGAAUGCUGACAACUUGGCAUGAAACCAAAAAAAAGAACAGAGAGAAGGAAAAAACAAUUACAAGAUAUGCUAGGAGUAUGAACAAAUCAAAUCUACAAACAACAUUCAUGUGUGUUCUGCACUCUAGCUAUUGAGCCAAGCACUUAACUGAAGAGGCUUACUUGGCGCUCCAUCGUCUUCAGCUAGCUCAUCUCUAGCGCUAUCCUCUUCCUCAUCUCGGCGCUCCGCGCGUCGGUGGUGUCGAUGACGAACUUCCUCCAGAACCAGUGCUUCUUCCAGACGUGCGCCAUCUCCUCGACGGGCACGUUCUUGGUCUCCGGGAGCAGCAUGGCGAUGAAGAGCGUCAUGAGCAGCACCCACGCGCCGAAGAAGUAGAAGAGCCCGAACCGGAGGUGGCAGAGCAGCGUCAGGAAGAUCUGCCCGAUGAAGGCCGUGAAGAACAUGUUGACGGCCACCGUCACGCUCAUCGCCGGCGACCGCACCGCCAGCGGGUAGAUCUCGCUCGGGAUCAGCCACCCCAUCGGCCCCCAGGACCACGCGAACCCCGCCACGUACACGCACACGAACAGCACGAUGCACAUCGCGUACUGCUCCGAGAUGGCCCCCGUCCCGCUCAUCCCGAACUGCAGCCCGAUGAACGUCCCCACCAGGAUCUGCAUUAUCCCAAGAAUUUAUAUAUAUAUUAUAUAUACAUAUAUACAAACCUUGUUGAGUUGUGUCAUUCCUUCGUACCUGGGAGAUGAUCAUCUGCGUGCCGCCCUGGAGGAAGAGGGCGCGGCGGCCGACCUUGUCGGCGGUCAUGAUGGCGACGAAGGUGGAGAAGACGUUGACGAGGCCAGUGAUGACGGAGGAUACGAGGGAGGCGUUCUGCUUGAACCCCACCGUCUUGAACAGCACGGGCGCGUAGAACAUGAUCACGUUGAUGCCGGUGAGCUGCUGGAAGAAGGGGACGAGCAGCGAGAAUGUCAGCUGGGGCUUGUACUUGCCGCCGAACAGGAGCUCCCGCCACGGGUUCUCCACGGCCUUGGCGUCCUCGCUCGCCGCCGACAGGUCGUCGAACUCCUCGCGGACGUCGCCGACGCCCCUGAUCUGGAGCAGCGUCUUGCGCGCCGUCGCCGUGUCGCCGCGCUGGAUCAGCGAGGUCGGCGUGUCCGGGAUGGCCAGCGCGCCCAGCGCGAUGACGCCGGCCGGGACGGAGCCGAACGCCACGGCGAUGCGCCACCCCCACCCGCCGGGGAUCUUGGACGUGAAGUAGUUGGUCAUGUUCGCCAACAGGAUCCCCACCGUGAUCAUGAACUGGAAGAGGAUGUUGAGCAUCCCGCGUUGCUGCGCGGGGGCCAUCUCCGAGAUGUAGAGCGGGGACGCGUGGAUGGAGAGCCCAACGCCGGCGCCGACGAGGAUCCGGCCGGUGAGCAGCAUCGGGAAGUUGACGGACACGCCGCCGAGGCACGCGCCGAAGACGUACGCGGACGCGGCGGCGAACAGGGUCCACUUCCGGCCGAAGGAUCGGGUCAUGGGCCCGGCGAAGAAGGCGGCGAUCAUCGCGGAGAGGAAGAGGGACGAGCAGAAGAGCGUCAGGAGCUGGCUGUCGAACUUGCAGUACUGGUUCACGGUCACCUGGUGCUUCAUCUCCUCGUAGAUGGACGGGAAGAACUUGAUCAGGAACGGCUCCGUCGACGUCAACCCGGCUUCAUCACGAUCACGGCGGCGGCGGCGGCGACGACAACACAAAGCAAGCAAACAAGACCCCUCGUGUCAGUCGUCAGAGCAAGCCCCUGAUUUGGCAUUUUGGCUCAACAGCCUGUGUAUAUAUCUAUGGUAGUGCUCAGCUCACAGGUGAGGCCGAUGUCAUAGCCGAAGAUGCAGCCGGCAACGGAGGCGAUGAGGCAGGAGAAGACGACGAUGCCGGUGACCUCGCCGGGGUACGUCUUGUACCUCGUGUGGUGGUGCACGAUCACCGCUCCCGGCAUUGUGCCCGGCGCCGGCGGCGAGGGAACCAACCAACCGGUCACUUACAGGCCGGUGAUCUCGACGGGAACGAAGGGGGUGAUCGGAGGAGGAGGUGGCGAGCCCCUCCUGUUCGUCCUUGUUGCGCGGCGGGGGAAGGAUGCGUCGAGGCGGGAGCGGCGAGCGCUUAAACCGGUGGAAGGGCUCGGCGAGUGGUGCGGCGGUCCCGUCCUAAAUCGUAGGACGCGUGCUGGUCGAUCGUCGUAUGCGAGUCGUGUGUGUCACCCAGGAACGUCGUCUCCAUGGUUUCAAGGUCAACCACGGCUUUGAAGCUUCUAAUCUUGGGAGACCACGCUUUCCAUUUUUAGCAUGUUGCAUUGUAUCAUGCACUGAGGAGGAAUUGAUGCAGGAUGAGCGCCAUUUUUGUGCACGUUGUGGGUUUAACCCUGUAUUCCAUCUUUCUGUUGUAGCUCAAGAACAGUGUGAUCUGGAGGCAAGUGCAACUUCGAUUUGCACUCUUGGCUGCAUUUCAGUAUUUGCACUCUUGGCUGCAUUGGCACACGAAGUGUUAUUUAGUGCCUCAGAGUUGGAUAUUGCUAACAAUUGACUGAUUAUUUCACCAAAAAAUUCAGAUGGAGAUAGUUGGAAGAAGAAAAUUCAAUCUGAUGAGAUCGUCCAGUGCAGUUUUACGUGGGGAACAGAACUACUGAAAGUUUCAGAGAGCAAGUUCUCCCAGAUUGGAUGAGCAAGGCAGGCCAGGUUUUUUCAAAUCAAAGAGCGACUGGAUUGUGCCUGAGCUUCGCUAGUUUUCUUGUCCUCGCUUUUUUCGGUUUCUUGGCCUAGCUAGGCCUUUGCUGUUCUUGUUGGACUUUUCUCUCCUCCUCUAUUACUUUAUGAACGUCAGAGCUCCUGACUGUUCCUUUUCUAUAAAAAAAAACUUCGUCAUGUUCUUUCUUUUGCUGAGAUAAUUCACCAGUUCUGAAACUGCACCUCUUCCCUCUAUCACGGACAUUUUUACUGCAUCCAUGCUGCUCGAGUGCUCAGGUUCAGCAUAGCCAUCGUUCAGCUAACCGACUUGCAUGCCGGCAUCGGCACAAGAGGCCACCUUGCGCGCCCAUAGUACCAGUCUACCGGAGGCUGUUGAUGUUCUCCGUCAGCUCCCUGGUGCCUGACCGGCUCUCUUUUGCUGGCAGCCUGACAAUGCAGAGACUUCUACUGAUUUCACAAGGGAGUCCCCUCUGCUAAUUGUAGAACGAGACGAAUUCUCACAGACUGUUCCUGAAUGCAGCUCGUGGUAGUGCCCUGGAAUUCUGGAGGAUGCCAUCUCCUUGGUGCGGUGGUGCCCUUCAGAUGGCACACGACACGCGUUUAGGUUCAGUGGGAUGGGUGGGUGUAGUGGAAAAGGAGAACAGGUCCUCUUACUGUGCCCACGCUUGGAUACAUCACAGGAGCUGAUGAUUAAGUUGCUGCUUCUCACUAUGAUACGUGACACCACCAUCCACUCCGUAAGUGCCUUUCGAGAGUAAAAUAAUGAAAAGUUAAGAUCCACAUUUACCUUUAUCUCAUUGUUCUAUUUCAUCAUGUUGGGCAAAGCUGGCUGGCACCAAACGGUCAAGUAUAAACUGUGUCAGACAUACUUGCAGUGAAAGAAACAGUGCAUAAUAGUGUUACCCAUGGUGUGCAAGAGCAAUUAGUGCAUGGACCUAUGAACACUCUGGGAAUCUUUAAAUGGUAAAAAAACAUGCUGGAUUUUCUGAACCCUGAUUCAUCUUCUCAUAAAAUCAUCUAGUGCAUGAACUACAAAAUGCCGGCCGUAAAUUACUCAGGCUUUGCGGACUUAUUUUUCCCAUUUAACCAAGCUAAUUACAAGACCACAAGAGAUAUUUGCAAGUGGAGUGGAGACAUUCUAGCACGAGGUCCACGUGAUGGAAAGAGGCAAACCGGUUGGUGAGGCUGAGAGCAGAGCAGGUACGGAGUGGACCACAUGCCCGUACUGCCGGUCUACCACUGCUACUCUGUACCACCGCACAUGUGAAGUAUACCACUGCACCUUCGUUUGUUCAGAAUGUACGGCCAGUACGAACCUUAAGGGACAAUUAGAAAGAAAUUUGAUACUCCAGAGUCCAGUCAACAUUCUUUGAUAUACUUUGACAGGCCUCAAGCUUCAGCAAAUUCUGCGUCCCAUCGGAAAAAAAAAAAAGAUAGAUGCCUAGCGUACCGAAUGUGAAGAAGUUACAGGACAGAGCUGCUCCAUAGAUGACUACCAUCCAAAAUCAAGUUUAGGAGCUCAAGCUAGAAACGAAAGAUACAAAAAUUAAGAACUUUGCAGAGCAACUCUUGAAUGCAGUUAUCGAAUGAAUAAUCUCUCUGAAUCAAAGGCACAAAAUUGAGAAUUUCGUACGUCAAGACUUGAGUGCAAUUGUCAGAUGAACAAUACCUCGGAAUAUGCAAAGUUUUUUUUUCUGAGAGAGGACUGAAUAUGCAAACCAAGUUGCAGUGUCCUAGUGUACCUACUAAGUGCUAUUUAAUUUCAGCUACCAGCGGAGCCCAGCCAUGUACAAAGGCCAAGCGACUUGGGGCCCUUUCACCUGCAAGGAAGUGCUGCUGGUCCUGAACAGAAUUCAAUACAACAGAGCAAAGGAUGGCAAAAGUUUCUUGAAAGAUCAUAUAAUACGCUCAAACUUUUUGAUAUCUCCAUCGAGUGCCACUACAUAACGUUGCAACACAUGGAUGAGCAUGAAAUGUCUACCCAGCACCCACUUAUUUGUAGGACCUGGUAGCUAUAAAGAGAAAGGACCUAGGAGCACAAAAGGUUGAAGGGAACAAGCAAGGGUGAGUAAAUAGCCCCAGAAAUGAGGCCAUCAAGAGAAGUAAAACAGCAUCAAUGGAAUUCCAGCCUUUUAGUUAUUACGUAGACAGUAGACGCCCACUUCUAAAUUUACAACUUCCCCAUAAUUUUGUAGGCUAAUAACAUCAAUUUUGUAUCACAAAAGUUAUAUACUAGUAAUCAAGUAACUGUUGGUCAAAGGCUUGUCAUAAUGAAACAAAAUACAUUCUUAGACAGAUGAAGUAAAUCAGUAGUGAUGAUAAAUUGGGCCUGUACCCCCACUGUAGCACAUAGGCCAAGGACCACGACCAUGAGGCAUACAAAUAAAUGCAGUCCUAACAGUCUAACACUAAACACAGACCCACCCCACUAGCAGGUUUCUUACACACCAUAUCUGAGCAGCUGCACAGAUAUUAUUGCAAUACAGUGGAAUGGAAGGACAAAGGAAAAGCAUGUCCUAAAAAGGACACAAAAAUUUCAAGAGACGUUAAGAAAGCAUAGAUACAUACAAUAUGUAAUUUAAUUUAGCUUGGUUUUAUCAAGGAUAAAGAGUAAUGCAAGGUGUGCUGAGAAAGAUUUGAAGUAAAAGACACCUGGCAAAGCAACCACGUUAUACUGCCAUGCCAUAGACCCUAUCCAAUUAGUUGUAAAGGACAUCCUAAGAAGAGCAGCCCAAACAGCCAUGUCAUAUGGACAGACAUUUCAUCAGCUGAUGUGUGAUUGGCUCUUUCUGGUUAUUACAUAAUAAGAAUAUUGCUUUCCCAGUCAGCUCGACUCUCUAGAAAGUUAUAACUUUCCCUUCAAUAUUAAUGAAAUAUCCACUUACCAAACAUUUAAAUGCGAGUGCAGGACCAUAUAGACAUUCAUCUGAUCACCAAACAUUUAAAAUGAAUGCGAGACCAUAAACACAUUCAGGUGCUUGUAGAAAUGACUGAAUGACGAGAUGUAAUUUGCGGACUGACAAAUGACCAUAAACAUUUAAAAUAUGAGUGCAGAACCAUAAACAUAUUUAAAAUACUUGAUAAUUCACAUGCCGAUUGCCAAAUGUUAGAAAUGUAGCAUCCAAAUGUAUCUCAAGUUUUAAACUCUUCAUUAAACUAAUACAUAGUAACGGCUAAAUUGGUAUGUCUGUGUUAAAGAUUCAAAGUUUUAAUCUCAUAAGAAUUACCAAACUGGACCUUGACCUUAGUUAUGAAAAAAAUGCUUCAUGAAAAUUGGGUCGGGGUUCAGGUUAAAUUUAGAGAUAUUCGUUCAUAUCUUACAAAGAAAAGCAUAAAGCUAAGGCCCAAAAAAUAGAUAGGAUUAUAUUAUAUUUAUAUCCUGGUAGAACCACAAAAAGCUCAAAGCCUAAAACUAACACAUAGGAAUAUAUUAUUGAGAUAAUAAUUAUACUAAACAAAUUGGGACAAGAAAAGAAAGUUAUCUCUGAGGUCAAAAUAGAAUUGGACGCUGCCUACUAGAAGGAUCCGCACAAACCCAAAUCAAUAAAUUCCCAGAUCCUUGGAAAACAUUCCUUCCUGUUAUUGUAAUAACUGCCUACCCAACUUGCAUGGGACUAAGGAUUUGCUGUUGUUAUUAUUGUUGUUGUUCUUAUUCUAAGUACUGAAGGUAGGCUUCCAGUUAUUUACAGACACCAUGAUCCUUGUUAGUUAAUGUACAGGUCCCUUCAAUAGAAGACUAUUUAUCAAGUCACUAGAAAAGCUAGCAUUCGUUAUGCAAAUGAACUACGGGCAGUGUUGCAAACAAGAGUCACCUACAUACCUAACAUAUCCUACAGAUUGAAUAAAACAUAUCUUAACAAAGCUUGGAGUGUGGGGAUAUAACUCUACCAGCCUUCAAUAAUAAAAUCAUGCACCACCCCUACAAGGUCAAUCCUAGACCCACCACUAAUUUACACAAAGUAGGAUACACUUUCUUUUCCUCACCAGCAUAAGCAAUCUUUUCCGAAGCAGCAUACCACGCUCUUUAAGAUCUUGUAAGCAUCCUCUUAUUCCUGUAUUUUGCAAGUUGGCAAUAUAAGUAGAGGAUAUAAAUAGGUAAAGUACUUUUUUCAAUAAAGUUGUUCUAUAAUAAUUGCAGAUUACAGAAUAAGAAAUAUUAAUGAAAAAAUCUGGCAUUAAUGAAGAAAUCACAAUCGACCAGUGGGAUUCAGGUCCCAGAUUUAAAAGAUGUGGAAAAAAUGCUCAGGGGUUGACUUGACACAUAGUUUACUCCAAAGAUAAACUUCAAGCGAGCACUUGUACGAUAUGGAAACAAUUCUAAAAGAAUAUGUUGACUUCCAUUCCAUGUCUGGAGCAGUACACAUAGAUACAUUGAGUCAAAGGCAACGAUAUAUUGAAGAUUAAUAGUCAAGUACUCAAGUGGUGAUCAGGUUGUUUUGCAACAGAAACAAUGAAGUUCUGCAUUGUUCGUCAUAUAUCUUGAAAGAUUCAGCUUCAUAAAUCAUCAAAUCCAAAGUCCAGCUCCGUGACUUCACAUCAAGAGUGAUUUCUCGUAGCUUGACAUUCCUAUGCAGCCCAAGCUUUCAAAAAGAAUUGACAAAUUCAAGAGGAUGUGAAGGCUACGCAUAAAUAUCACUGCUUCGAAUAUACAAGCGCAUAAGAAGGUUCAAAGAUAAUGGACCCCUUUACCAACAUUAUCCAUAUCAUUUCACUAUGCUGUGUGGCUCUACAGCUCUGCAUGGUUUGAAAGGAUAAGACACAAGUGCAAAGCACUAAGGUGAUAUGGCUUUCACUUCAUAAAAGGAGCACCAUAGAAUUUUCACAAAGAUAUCACCCCCCCCCCCCCCACACACACACACACACAAAAUCCCAAGGUACAUGCGGGAAGUACUACCAACCAUCAGAAUGGAAUUGCCACUCACCAUUCCGCAGUGGCUUGUCACUGCAAAGCUAGCUAAGAACACCGCACCACUUCACCUCACUUAUCUCCACCACUAAUACUCAAUGGCCCAAACAUCAAACAAGAACACUUAAGACCCCCCCCCCCCCCCUCCCGACCUCCAAAAAUAGCAAAUAUAAAUUCAGCCACCUGCACAACCCCAGCAUACAAUCUUUAAGGAUAAACUAAUACUACAACAGCAGACUGUCAAUUAUGUCUUGUAAAAUUUUAGCAAGAUAGCUAUUUCUUAUUAAUCACAGUAUUGCAGAAUUGCAACCGGUGCAUCACCUCAAAUAUCCAGCAGGCACAAAAAUCACAGUUACUAGCACUGAGUAAAGCUCAUUUCCCCCAUCUGCUAUUCCGCUUCCACACAAAGUCAAUUACAAAUUUGAUUGGUUAUAGUAGCCAUACCAGACUAACUGGCAGAUAGUUAUAGACAAUCAGACUAAGAACAUCAUAAGAAUAAACAUUACGUUCAUAUCAAAGACAUUUAUAAAAAAGACACUAAAAGAAAAAAACGUAGUCAUCCAAUAAUUCCACAUACAUCUGGUACCAGCAGGAUGUAAUCUUCACAUGAAGUAUAAAUUCAGGAAAGCCUGUUAUUUUGGCAUGAAGGUAACAAAUCAACAACAUUGCAGCGCUACUUCCAAGCUACUCAUGUCAAGCUGUUGUAGCGAAACAUGUUCACCCCUUAUCAUGAAAAAGGAUCAAAUAUGGUUCCAAAUAUACAUUCAUUUUCUUACAAGACUCCAUGGGAACUGCUAUAAACAAGAUGCUUCAUUUUCUUACAAGGCUCCAUGGGAACCACUAAAAACAGGUGACAAGUUAUACGAUCUUUUUGUUAUCAGAUUGCAUGUAUCUAGAAGAAACCUGGACAGAAUAAUAUAAUGUUAUUUCUGGAUUAACCAAAGAGAAGUGCGCAAGCUCCAGCUAACUCUGAAGUUAUCCGGAAUACACAGUUAACUUACCGAUUCUAAUGUAGGACGAAACUAAUCCACACCAAAUAAAGUGAAGGUGUACUAACAGCAAUUUGUAAAAAGCUAACUAUAAAGAGAUGCCUGAUAAGCAUUCAAUUCUUUUGGGCAUGCACACAAGCAGCAAAAGAGAAGCUGAGGAUGGUAGAAGAGAAAAAUGUGGCAGGUCAGAAUUCCUCCCAUUUCAACCUUUAUGCCAGAAUAUUUCAGUAAUAUGAAUUGCAAAAAGAAAACAUAUAUCAAACUCUGUAUUCCUUGCAGAUUUCUUUUCCCCAUGUCUGUUAUCUAACAGCUAGAAAUCUAAAAUUGAUGAGCAGAAACUGAACUACAACAAUAUUUUGCUCAUUUCAAUCUAAAACCUGACAAAGACCUCCGAAUGCAAUGGUUGGAUCUGAGGACCAUCAGGCUCACUGAAAAUUAUCUGGGUAUUUGCUGAAGCUCUUUCCAAAUGCAUUAUUUCUGUUUUCAGAAAACUGGGCAGCACAUCCGACUGAAUCUUGCGGAGUCCUUGAGGGUGAUCCUCUGUAGGAGCAAUCAGAAAUAGUUUCUUCAGACAACUAGACUUUCUAAGCAGAAAUUCUACUAGUUGCAUCUCAUUACGGUGCCCCUUGAAGUUUGUCAUCUUGGCUAACCAAAGGUUUUCUAAUCCACCUUUAGGUGGCUCUUCCUCCGCUACCUCCAAGAAAUUCUCCGUGAAUGAAUCACGAACGUUCGUCGGGAGCUGCAAGUUCAGUGGAACAUGUUUGAGAAACAGAUCGCAUGGCCAUAAACAAACUAGCAAUCGAAUGCAGAUUUUUGCAAUAAAAAUAAGCAAACAGAGACCUGCACAAAGAGCCGCUCCAACUGAGGACAGGAACAUGUCUUGAGGAAGCUGUAGAUGUCAGCAAGGUUGGAGUUGGCCAUGCCGAACAUGAGGAAAUGGAGCUCUCUCAAGCUCUGCAGCUUGCUCUCCACUACGGCCUUAGCUGUGAAAGCAGAAAUGUACUACAAGGCAAAGGCGAACAAGUAUAUAAGCCUGUUGGCAAUGAAAUGGGCUGAAAGGAAAUGGCAUAGAUGCCUGAGCAGACCUGGAGUGCAAUGCUGCAGAGGGUGAGGACACUGAGGUUCGAUAGGUGGGGAACCGAGAUGGGCAAGUUGGUGGGCGGCAAGCCGUUCUCCGGCCCGCCGGAGCAGAGGUAGAGAUGCUCAAGUGAGCCCCCAGCGCCCGUGAGGAUGUUGCUGGAGAGGAAGGCGCCGCUCAACCGGAACGACCGGAGGCGCGGCGCCAUGGGGACCCGCACCUCCGUGGUGCGGGAGCAGUCGACGAGGGUGAAGGUCCUGAGGUUGGGCACCCCCACGGCGCUGAAGUCGAUGCGGCGGAGGCGGCGGCAGUAGCGGAGGUCGAGCUCCCGGAGGCGGGGGCAGGCGGCGACGACCCGUCGCAGCGCGGCGUCGGUGAGGAACACCGAGUGGAGGUGGAUCACCUCGAGCGUGGCGACCAUCGCGUUGGCGGCCGCCGUGAGGUUGAGCCCCCGCACCGAGAGGCGCGCGAGCAGGCGGCUCCCGACGGGGAAGUGGACGGUGAGCAUGCCCCGGCCGCGGGUGCCCCCGCCCCCGCGCGAUCCCCUCCCCGCGCCGCCGUCGACGCGGAGGUGCAGGUCCUCGACCUCGCACACCGCGGCGUAGUCGAGGCAGCGCCUGAGGUCCGGCUGCGUGAGCUGCCCGCCGUGGAAGGCGAGCGAGAAGCAGUCCAUCCGGCGCCUCCCGCGCCGGUCGAUGAGCCCGAACUGCUCCACCCGCGCCGCCGCCCCCGCCGCGCCGGGAGGGAGGCGGAUGCGGACCGACGACGGCUCCGGCCACCGCUGCUCCCACAGGCACCGCCACCGCGAGGAGAGAGCGCCGGUCCGGAUGGCGGAUUUGAGCGGCAGCAGGCUCAGAAUCUGCAUCCGCAGCGCGUCCGGCAGGUCCGAGAUGCGGUCCUCCUCCACCACCAUCUCCUCCUCAUCAUCAUCCUCGUGGCCCCCACCUCCCACCCGGCGCCGCUUCCCGCCGCCCCCCGCCAUUCCGCUCCGCCGCCGGCUCCUACCCGCGCCGCAUCGGGGGAGGAUUCCGCGGGGUUUGGUUGCGCCGCUCCUACAGGGCUGUGUUGUGAAGCAGGGGCGGGGAGGGGAAUGGGAAGGGAAGGGGGAGAGACGUGUGGAGGCGUCUUGCUCGCCGCCUGGCCGCUGCGGUGGCCUCUUGUGCUCGCUUCCCUCUUUCCCCUCCCUCCCUCUCUCUCUCUCUCUCUCUCUCUCUCUCUCUCUGCCUGCUGUGGUGUGUUCUGGCUGGCUACUUGCGCUGGUGGUGCCGCGCGGGUCAUACGGCUCACGCUCCUCCGCUCGCUCGCGUCGGGCCGCGCCACCCUCCCCUUUGCGUUGCGUUGCGUCGCGGGUGCGCUGCGACGUUGCUUUACCGUUCGGGCCUUUUCCGCCGGGUCGCCGGCCGCGACCUUUUCACACCAACAGGCAGCACGCACAGCCCCGCGGGCCUCGCCUUGCUUCCCAUUUUUUUCUCUCGCCCGCCGCUGUUCACACGGCACUUCACGUCCUUUUUCUUCCGUUUCGUUUCUUCCCUCUCUUUCUCCUUUUUUUUUGUUCUGCGUACCUUUUGCGCCGUUUUCAAUGCUUUGCUAAUUUUGAGCUCCCGGAUGAAAUGCCUGCUAAUUAUGUGAAAGCAAACAUUGAUUUCUUUCCUUCUCUAAUUUCCCUACAUUGAUUUAUUUCUUUAUCUAAAUUCCAUGCUUGUUUAGGAGAGGAUCUUCCAUAUUUUUCUUCAUCAAGGGAAGAAAGUGGUCCAAAGGGCUCCAGGAGCUCAGGUUAAGGUUACACUCUUGCCCUCCCUCUUUGCAGGUAUGCAUAGAAGCCAUAUCGGCGCAAUGACGGUUGGCACGGUAGCAACUAGGUGGCGAGCUUGCAAAUGAGGGGGUGUUUGGAUACACCAUCCUAAACUUUAGUACCUGUCACAUCGAAUGUUUGAUACUAAUUAGGAGUAUUAAAUAUAGUCUAAUUACAAAACUAAUUGCACAGAUGGAGUCUAAUUUGCGAGACGAAUCUAUUAAGUCUAAUUAGUCCAUAAUUUGACAAUGUGGUGCUACAAUAAUCAUUUGCUAAUGAUGGAUUAAUUAGGCUUAAUAGAUUCGUCUCGCAAAUUAGUAUAGGGGUUCUGCAGUUAGUUUUAUAAUUAGUUCAUAUUUAGUACGCUUAAUUAGCGCCCGAACAUCAGAUGUGACCCUCCUAAAGUUUAGUACAUUAUAUCCGAACAGCCCCUGAGUCAUGUUGGGUGCGGGGCAUCAGGACUAGGUGAUAUUGGCAAGGGAGAAUGGAGAGACAGAGGUGCAGCGAGGGGUGCAUAUUUAUUUGUAGCGUAACAAGUCAACUGUAGCUGUGCGCUUGCUUAUAGUGAAUUAGAAUAAACUUAUUGGCCGUAUUUCUAAAAAAUAGUCGAUUGAAUUUAUUCGGGUCCUUUUAGGAAAGUACGAAAGAACAAUUAUUUGUAUCUCUUAAACAUUAUCCCACAUUUUAGCGAACAUGUGAAUUGUCACCUUCGGUGAAUGGAAAAGGAUUAACAAAGACUUAGUAUAACAUGACAAUAAAGGGCCGACCGGUCACCAAUACUUGGCAUUGCUGAAUUAUCUGGGAGCGGUAUAUUUCAUAUUUAAUUUUGACCAAUAUUUUUUCUUAUUAAUAUAUAGUUAUAACAUCGCAUAAAUAUGAAAGUGCCUUCUAAGGUAAUAUAAUCUUUCAUAAUUUCAAACUAAAUAUCUUGAAAGAUAGGAUGAGAAGAUGCUAUAGGAUAAGUAGAUAGUAAUGUGAAAGAUAUGAUGAGGAGAUGGCAUAGGAAGCCUAGCUGAGAGAUAAUACGAUGCAUCGAGUGUGAUACCUCCGCCAUUUUUCGACUUCAUGAUAAGGGAAAGGUGUUUCAUGAUAAAAUGAGGUGCAGUGGAUUCUUGUAAUUAGUUUAGAGAUAAAUCAAAUUCUAGGAUCUCUGAUCUAAUGGUUCGCUGCGGGUAUAAAGAUAUAAAGGUUUGCUAAAGAAGAAUAACCACCAGAUUGCACUCGAACCCAUCUCCACAUGAUUCUUGCUCGUUUCCUCUCCCCUACCAAAUCUAUACUAUAAACUAUAAAGAGCGACCAAAUUAAAAACAAUUUCUACCCAGAGUUACACCCCUGUACCCCUCACAGAGGACCCACCUACCAGGCUAGGAGGGUGACGAAAAGAUGUGACGAAGGGUGGGAGGACAAAAAAACUAGAUGAUAGAAAAUGAUUCUGCCAAAACAUCUGUUUUUUCUCACCUUUCUUUUCUCCUUACCUGCCCUCCUUACCCGCACGCACGUACCCUUCCGCGCGCCAAUCACGUUCCUGAUUUUUUGGCCGAGGUCUCCUUCCUUUUCCACGUUUUCCACGUUCUGCCGUUCCGCGACUCCAUGAUUUUUUUCGUGGUUUCCUUCCUUUUUCAUGCUCUUGAUUGAUUGGUAGCCUUCCUUUUGAGAGCCUUCCUAUUGAGAGCCUUUAAUUUAGAUCCUGUUUGGCAUGACUCCAACUCUGGGUGGAGCUGCUCCACUCCAGAACUCCAGGUGGAGCCAGCUCUGGGUGGAGUUGGAGCUGUCUGGUGAGGGUGUUUGGCUGGGAGGGUGUCCCUAGCUCCAGAAAAGAGGAGUUUGAGGGUAGAUUGCCUUUCUUACCCCUGGUUCGACUUGAACUACUUAUCACAAAUAUAAAAUGAAAGUACAUGCAUUGAAGUCCAAAAUAAUAAUAAAUUACAUGUUCCAAAAUUUUAAAAUUUUGAAAUAAAUUCAUAGUUCCAAAAUAAGGUCGUUACAGUAAUCAUUGCACUAAUUCCAUGUUAGAGCAAUUGAUGUAGCCAUACUAUCACGAAAGGUAUCCAUAGUCACAAAGCUUGAUUCCGAAGUUGAUCCAUCGGAGGCAUGUUGAGACACGGCAUACUUGUUGUAUCUUACCGGAAUAGUAGGCAUGUAGGUAGGAUCUCUAUCAAAAUUAACAAAGUCCACAUCAACACUAGCAUGUUCACGUAUGAAAUUGUGUAGAACCAUAAUAGCAGCAACAAUCUUCUUUUGUGUGACCAUUGAAUAACCGGGCAUCUUGUAAAGGAUUUGCCAUUUCAUUGUUAAUACUCCAAAUGACCGCUCAAUAACAGUACGAACAGAUGAGUGUAUACGGUUGAACUUCUCUUUUGGAGUAUUUGGUUCCAUACCUCGAUGCCACUCGGGUAAGUGGUACCUUUCACCCUUGUAUGGAGCCAGAUACCCCGAAUGAUUAGGAUAGUCCGCAUCUACAACAUAGUACUUGCCUACACAUAUGUAAAAUAAGAUAAGUUUGUGCAUACAAAUAUGAAAAGAAACAUAAGGAAAAAUCUUUACCUUGAGGAGGAUGUGGGAAGACAUUUACAUCUGCUUCCAAUGCAUGGUACAAUACACUAGUGUCAUGCAAAGAACCCGGUUGACCCGCAGCCACAUAGGUGAAGCGCAUAUCAAAAUCACAAACGGCAAGCACAUUUUGAGUUGCAAUUCCAGUCUUACCAAUACAUCUCACUUGUUCUUCAGGUGAUAAAUACACAUGAAUAUGGGUUCCAUCAAGUGCACCAAUACAAUCCAUAAAGUGUGGGUAUGCUCUCUUGUCAUUCCUAAUCCUCUUGUGCACAUUGUGAAAAUUAUGAUCUGUCGGUCUCAAGAAAUCUUGUGCUAUGGCAACCACACAAUUUAGAACUUCAUGAAAUUUUCUACUAAUGGUUUUACCUGAGUGUUUGAACUUAUUUUAUCCUCUUCUAUUUGACUCACACCCACUACAUGUGAAUAGGAAAAUGGCCAACAUUUCAUAAGUAUUCACGUGCUUCGAUGGUUUUAAUCCGUACCUCUCAACCAACACAUCAUGAAGAUCCUGAAAAAUAACCUCAUUCAUCCGAAACAUUCGAUGGCACUCCCCUGGAGUGUUUACCAUCUCCAUCAGCCAUCCCAUUUCACUUUGUUGUGAAAACAUAAAUCUCGGCGGUACCUUAUCCAUAUAUGAGUCAUGAUAACUUUGUGCUAGCUUACCACAGCUUUCAACCAUUUUAAAAAAAUAUUCACCAUCAGACUCACUAGAUUCAUCAGACUCACUUGAAGACAUCUAUGAACAUUGACAUAAAUGAAAUGUAAGAUACAAUUGUCAUACAUAAAUAAAAUGCAAUAAAGUAAAAUGUACCACACAUGCGACAAAAAUAAAA
Molecule: long non-coding RNA, 22321 nt
Filed under: Setaria viridis
Lineage: Eukaryota; Viridiplantae; Streptophyta; Magnoliopsida; Poales; Poaceae
Description: long non-coding RNA (SVIR_LNC000139)
Source: RNAcentral